Asparagus officinalis (garden asparagus) is the source of this 1445-nucleotide long non-coding RNA. RefSeq lists it as uncharacterized. NCBI's taxonomy places the organism in Eukaryota, Viridiplantae, Streptophyta, Magnoliopsida, Asparagales, Asparagaceae. The transcript is spliced from 6 exons. The record is from RefSeq and is a predicted model, not a curated record.
UUCCCCACUCGUACUAGGGAGGGAAAAUUCCCCCCUUUUAUUUUCACGAAGAGCCAAAACCCCUACCCCCGCUCUCUCUCUCAUCAAAAAAUCGCCCCCAAACCCGUGCUUCUUCUCUGAAGUUCGUCUCCUUCGUCGGAGAUCACCGCCGCCAUCGUCGGAGAGCUGAAGGCCGAGGCCCAAUACAACACGCCACAGCACUCCCAGUCUCAAGCCCGGCGCGCGCGCGAGAGGGAGACGGAGAGGGAGGAGCGGCGGUCCUGGAUCUAUCUACAUGGUGGUCAUAUUACGUCUUGGAAAAACAACCAUAGGGAUGAGUUACUCUUUGUCAGCAAUAAGAUGGAGAUAUAGCUGUGGUGCAAGCAAAUAUGGAAGGGAAACUAUAUGCUCUCAGAAAAAAAAAGAAUGAAAAGAAAGAAAGAAAGAAGGGAAAUCUGAUAGUGAAUAUCCUUCUUUCGUUAUUUCAUAAUUUCCAAGUCUUUUGUCUUUUUUUUAAAGAAAGAAAUUCUUAUAAGGUCUAAUGUCCAAAGUUUUUCAGAUAUUUCACGGCUUAGAGAAUCUUACUUUUAAUUCUCCUGUAUGAUGUUAUUUGAUCUGUUGUUUGGUUGAACGGUCUUUUUUUCUUUGCUUGUCACUUACAUCUUAUAUCUUCCCUAUUAAUUUUCUUGUUGUAUUCAUUUAUCAGGUGCUACUGUACAUAAUUUCUUAAUUUGUUGGGAAACCUAGACACGAAUGCUAGGUUAGACUGGAUCUCUUCAAUUCAACUUGGGCGAGGUUUACUUAUCACAUUGAAUUUACAGAAAUUCAUCUUUCAUCAUGUCCAACAUGAUAUCUUCUUCCUGCUGUGGACUGAAGUAAUGCCAACAGCUAUUUUCAAGCCUCCGAAAGCAAUACGUGGGGGCAUCUCAAUAUGCUUUCCUCGAUUUGGGACACAUGGAUUUCUUGAACAACAUGGUUUUGCAACGAACCGUACAUGGAGCAUUGACACAGAUCCUCCAUCUCUUCCAUCUGACAGCUCCAAUACAACUUUUGUUGAUCUGAUUCUUAAGCCAUCUGAAGGAGAUCUCAAAUUUUGGCCUCACAGGAAAUAAUCAAAGAACUGAUGGAAAUGCUACCAUACAUGAAAGAGCUUAUGGAUAUGUAUUGUGGCCCUAAUAGAGUGACUGCAAAGUAACAAAUGUGGGAGUUAGACAGAGUCGCAAAAACUCUACCAGAGAAUAAACAUUCAUUUGUGAAGAGGUUCACUGAUCGUGUCGUUCUUUCACUUCAAGUUUUUUUUCCAACUUAGUUUAGUUUCCUGUAAAUCUUAUAAUGUGUCAUUCUCUGAAAUGGAAAACAUUGAAUAUGGCAAACUGGAAUAUUUAAACAGGCCUUUGAGUGUUGACUUGGAAUUGAAAAUGAAUGUAAUUAUUUUGCAAUGGGAGCAAAUUCUUUGUUUAUCAUAA